This 402-nucleotide ribosomal RNA is filed under the name uncultured bacterium. RNAcentral's name for it is "bacterial SSU rRNA". It matches the Rfam family "Bacterial small subunit ribosomal RNA", at positions 355 to 774 of the family's 1533-position model. The record is from RNAcentral.
UCGGGAAUUUUGGGCAAUGGGCGAAAGCCUGACCCAGCAACGCCGCGUGAGGGAUGAAGUAUUUCGGUAUGUAAACCUCGAAAGAAUGGGAAGAAUAAAUGACGGUACCAUUUAUAAGCUCCGGCUAACUACGUGCCAGCAGCCGCGGUAAUACGUAGGGAGCAAGCGUUGUUCGGAUUUACUGGGCGUAAAGGGCGCGUAGGCGGCGCGAUAAGUCACUUGUGAAAUCUCUGAGCUUAACUCAGAACGGCCAAGUGAUACUGCUGUGCUAGAGUGCGGAAGAGGCAACCGGAAUUCUUGGCGUAGCGGUGAAAUGCGUAGAUAUCAAGAGGAACACCUGAGGCGAAGGCGGGUUGCUGGGCCGACACUGACGCUGAUGCGCGAAAGCCAGGGGAGCAAACG